CAAUAGCGUAUAUUAAAGUUGUUGCAGUUAAAAAGCUCGUAGUUGGAUUUGUGGCGUACGGUGUGUUCCGGGCACUUGUUGUCUGAGUAACCUGCUGUUGCCAUCCUUGGGUGGAACCUGUGUGGCAUUAGGUUGUCGUGCAGGGGAUGCCCAUCAUUUACUGUGAAAAAAUUAGAGUGUUCAAAGCAGGCUUAUGCCGUUGAAUAUAUUAGCAUGGAAUGAUGAGAUAGGACUUUUUUGCUAUUUUGUUGGUUUGCGCAAAGAGGUAAUGAUUAAUAGGGACAGUUGGGGGUAUUCGUAUUCCAUAGUCAGAGGUGAAAUUCUUGGAUUUUUGGAAGACGAACUACUGCGAAAGCAUUUACCAAGGAUGUUUUCAUUAA
RNAcentral lists this ribosomal RNA (380 nucleotides) under uncultured eukaryote. Its description in RNAcentral is "partial 18S ribosomal RNA". It matches the Rfam family "Eukaryotic small subunit ribosomal RNA", at positions 592 to 976 of the family's 1831-position model. The record is from RNAcentral.